CCAAUAGCGUAUAUUAAAGUUGUUGCAGUUAAAAAGCUCGUAGUUGAACUUCGGGGUCUACCCAUUGGUCAGGCUUAAUUGUCUGCACUGGUGAGAUGGAUCUCUACCUUCUGAGGAACUUUCAUGCCAUUUAUUUGGUGUGAUGGGAAAUCAGGACUGUUACUUUGAAAAAAUUAGAGUGUUUAAAGCAGACUAUCGUCUGAAUACAUUAGCAUGGAAUAAUGAAAUAGGACGGACUGAUUCUAUUUCGUUGGUUUCUAGGAUCACCGUAAUGAUUAAUAGGGAUAGUUGGGGGCAUUAGUAUUCAAUUGUCAGAGGUGAAAUUCUUGGAUUUAUUGAAGACUAACUACUGCGAAAGCAUUUGCCAAGGAUGUUUUCAUUAAUCAAGAACGAAAGUUAGGGGAUCGAAGACGAUCAGAUACCGUCGUAAUCUUAACCAUAAACUAUGCCGACUAGGGAUCGGACGAAGUUAAUUUUAUAAUGACGCGUUCGGCACCUUACG
This 502-nucleotide unclassified non-coding RNA is filed under the name uncultured Diversispora. Its description in RNAcentral is "SSU rRNA". It matches the Rfam family "Eukaryotic small subunit ribosomal RNA", at positions 591 to 1092 of the family's 1831-position model. Lineage: Eukaryota; Fungi; Glomeromycota; Glomeromycetes; Diversisporales; Diversisporaceae. The record is from RNAcentral.